CUUGAUCGAUCCCAGUCGCAGCGCCCGCUCCCGCGCACGGUCCUGACCGUAGGUCGCCAACAGCGCCUGGGCCUC
Molecule: antisense RNA, 75 nt
Filed under: Frankia sp. AcoPraII.1
Lineage: Bacteria; Bacillati; Actinomycetota; Actinomycetes; Frankiales; Frankiaceae
Description: ASpks
Rfam family: ASpks TB sRNA
Source: RNAcentral